AGAAAGUGACAGAGUGGGUUUGUGUCUGGCUUGAAACCAGGAGAUGGGGGUUCGAUUCCCUCCUUUCUC
Molecule: transfer RNA, 69 nt
Filed under: Kaloula sp. East Luzon
Lineage: Eukaryota; Metazoa; Chordata; Amphibia; Anura; Microhylidae
Description: tRNA-Ser
Rfam family: tRNA
About the family: Transfer RNA (tRNA) molecules are approximately 80 nucleotides in length. Their secondary structure includes four short double-helical elements and three loops (D, anti-codon, and T loops).
Source: RNAcentral